AAAAAAAUUUAAGCAGGGGGACACCCAGAAAGCGCAUGACCCGGGCGUUGGUUGACUCGGGCGUAAGGGACCGAAAAAUAGUAGGGAAGCAUGUGUGGACUGGGGCGAGAAAAGCCCUGUGGAUAUCCAAGGUGCCCGUACCGCAAACCGACACAGGUAGGUAGGAAGAGAAUUCUAAGGCCAACGGGAGAAGGGUUGUUAAGGAACUCGGCAAGUUGACCCCGUAACUUAGGGAGAAGGGGUGCUCAUGCAAGUGAGCCGCAGAGAAUAGGUCCAGGCGACUGUUUAGCAAAAACACAGCUCUAUGCUAAAUCGAAAGAUGACGUAUAUGGGGUGACACCUGCCCGGUGCUGGAAGGUUAAGAGGAGAUGUGAGAGCAUUGAAUUGAAGCCCCAGUAAACGGCGGCCGUAACAAUAACGGUCCUAAGGUAGCGAAAUUCCUUGUCAGGUAAGUUCUGACCCGCACGAAUGGUGUAACGAUCUGGACACUGUCUCAACAGCCCGCCCGGCGAAAUUGUAGUACCGGUGAAGAUGCCGGUUACCCGCGACAAGACGGAAAGACCCCAUGGAGCUUUACUGUAGCUUAAUAUUGGAUUUUGGUAUUUCAUGUAUAGGAUAGGUGGGAGACUGGGAAGCGAGUACGCCAGUAUUCGUGGAGUCGCUGUUGGAAUACCACUCUUGAGAUGCUGAAAUUCUAACCUGCGCCUGUGAAUCCAGGCGGGGGACAUUGUUAGGUGGGCAGUUUGACUGGGGCGGUCGCCUCCAAAAAGGUAACGGAGGCGCUCAAAGGUUGGCUCAGCACGGACGGAAACCGUGCAUUAGAGUGUAAACGCAAAAGCCAGCCUAACUGCGAGACUGACGGGUCGAGCAGUAACGAAAGUUGGAGUUAGUGAUCCGGUGGUAUGUGAGUGGAAAUGCCAUCGCUCAACGGAUAAAAGCUACCCUGGGGAUAACAGGCUGAUCUCCCCCAAGAGUCCACAUCGUCGGGGAGGUUUGGCACCUCGAUGUCGGCUCAUCGCAUCCUGGGGCUGUAUUCGGUCCCAAGGGUUUGGCUGUUCGCCAAUUAAAGCGGUACGCGAGCUGGGUUCAGAACGUCGUGAGACAGUUCGGUCCCUAUCUGUCGUGGGCGCAGGAUAUUUGAGAGGAGCUGUCCCUAGUACGAGAGGACCGGGAUGGACGCACCUCUGGUGCACCAGUUGUCACGCCAGUGGCACAGCUGGGCAGCUAAGUGCGGAACGGAUAAACGCUGAAGGCAUCUAAGCGUGAAGCCGACCUCAAGAUAAGAUAUCCCACUGAGAUAAUCAGGUAAGACCCCUUGAAGACUACAAGGUUGAUAGGCCUCAGGUGUAAGCAUGGCGACAUGUUCAGCCAGGAGGUACUAAUCGGUCGAGGGCUUGACC
RNAcentral lists this ribosomal RNA (1400 nucleotides) under metagenome. RNAcentral describes it as "bacterial LSU rRNA". It matches the Rfam family "Bacterial large subunit ribosomal RNA", at positions 1453 to 2925 of the family's 2925-position model. The record is from RNAcentral.